Molecule: ribosomal RNA, 483 nt
Filed under: Spirochaetaceae bacterium enrichment culture clone A2
Lineage: Bacteria; Pseudomonadati; Spirochaetota; Spirochaetia; Spirochaetales; Spirochaetaceae
Description: bacterial SSU rRNA
Rfam family: Bacterial small subunit ribosomal RNA
Source: RNAcentral
AACAAACGCUGGCGGCGUGUCUUAAGCAUGCAAGUUGAGCGGCAAGGGGGAGCGAUCUCCCCUAGAGCGGCGGACUGGUGAGUAACGCGUGGGUAAUCUGCCUUUGGCAUGGGGAUAGCCACUAGAAAUAGUGGGUAAUACCGGAUACGUUCCACGAGGGGAGGACUUGUGGAAGAAAGGCGCUAUGGCGCCGGCCGAAGAUGAGCUCGCGUCCCAUUAGCUAGUUGGUGAGGUAAGGGCCCACCAAGGCGAUGAUGGGUAGCCGGCCUGAGAGGGUGUACGGCCACACUGGGACUGAGAUACGGCCCAGACUCCUACGGGAGGCAGCAGCUAAGAAUAUUCCGCAAUGGACGAAAGUCUGACGGAGCGACGCCGCGUGGAUGAAGAAGGCCGAAAGGUUGUAAAGUUCUUUUGCUGGGGAAGAAUAAGUGUGGGAGGGAAUGCCCGCACGAUGACAUGAACCGGUGAAUAAGCCCCGGCCAA